RNAcentral lists this ribosomal RNA (210 nucleotides) under uncultured bacterium. RNAcentral's name for it is "partial 16S ribosomal RNA". It matches the Rfam family "Bacterial small subunit ribosomal RNA", at positions 980 to 1188 of the family's 1533-position model. The record is from RNAcentral.
CCUUGACAUCCAAUGAACUUUCCAGAGAUGGAUUGGUGCCUUCGGGAACAUUGAGACAGGUGCUGCAUGGCGGUCGUCAGCUCGUGUCGUGAGAUGUUGGGUUAAGUCCCGUAACGAGCGCAACCCUUGUCCUUAGUUACCAGCACGUAAUGGUGGGCACUCUAAGGAGACUGCCGGUGACAAACCGGAGGAAGGUGGGGAUGACGUCAA